This is a non-coding RNA of Pogona vitticeps (central bearded dragon), 998 nucleotides long. The record is from RefSeq and is a predicted model, not a curated record. NCBI's taxonomy places the organism in Eukaryota, Metazoa, Chordata, Lepidosauria, Squamata, Agamidae.
GUCAGGGUUAAAAUAAAGAUACCACCCAACAACAGUAGGUCACCAAGGAUGGGAACCAUUGCCUACGUUUCAGGAGAAGGGCCUCAGCUUGAUAAUACAUUCUUUUCAUGAAGAAAGUUUGAUUUAUAAUCUUCUGGCAUUCUAAGUUCAAGCAAGGGUGGGCAACUGUAUCCCUCUAGGUUCCCCACCCCAUGGCUACCAUCAACCCACCAAUAAGGCCAAACAUUAAGAGCUCCUGGAUCUUGCAAUCCAUCAAAACCUAGAGGAUCACAACUGUUCCCUGAGUUCUAGGAUCUCAAGAAACAUAGCGCAGAAGGGCCUCUCUUUGACACCUUACAGAAAGCUGCUAAUGAUUAGAAUAGACAAUCCUGGGUCAGAUGGAUUAACUAUCUUAUACAGGACCAGUUUGGACAUGGAAUGGGAGAUCUGUGAUUGGAUAUCUUAACAUUAAAAAAAAAAACCUCAGCAACAACAUAGAAGCAGCUGUGGGGAGACCAAAUAGGUUUGGAAAAACAAUAGUCAAAGGAGAGGGUUGAAACUUUCCCAUUUAGCUUAAUUUCAUAGUCAACAUCUCCCGCAAGGGAAAAGUUUAUUUGAGGCUCACUGUGGGGAUGUGUCUGGAAGCCAUGUGUACUGAACCCAAAGAAGGAAACUCCUCGUUGUCCACACUCUGUCCUCUUCUGUAAAAAUGAAGGUUGUGAACACCAUCUUCAAUUUGUACAAAACAUACCUGGAGCACAGCAAAAUUGGAAAGUGGGACCUUCCAGGUGGCCUGAAUUUAAAUGGUCAGAAAGACUGUAUCCUCCCAUACAAGCUUGCCUGGGCUCCAAGAUUUCUAGGAAGCAUCCUUCUCUCCAAGGCAUGCUUAAGCAAGGCAGUGAGAAAGAGCUUAAUUGGUAGCUGUUCCCAGAUUUUGGAAUUCCCUGUCUAGGUGUAACAUGUGAAAAUGUGUCAGCUGCUGUAGGAUGCAAACUGAAUAGGAUCACAACGGCAGAGCC